GUGCAGCACAUAUACUAAAAUUGGAAUGAUACAGAGAAGAUUUGCGUGGCCACCUGUAUGAGGAUGACACAGAAAUUCACGACGCAUUCCAUAUUUUU
This 98-nucleotide small nuclear RNA is filed under the name Catagonus wagneri (Chacoan peccary). Lineage: Eukaryota; Metazoa; Chordata; Mammalia; Artiodactyla; Tayassuidae. The record is from RNAcentral.